This 751-nucleotide ribosomal RNA is filed under the name Salmonella enterica subsp. enterica. RNAcentral describes it as "partial 23S ribosomal RNA". It matches the Rfam family "Bacterial large subunit ribosomal RNA", at positions 2191 to 2925 of the family's 2925-position model. The record is from RNAcentral. Lineage: Bacteria; Pseudomonadati; Pseudomonadota; Gammaproteobacteria; Enterobacterales; Enterobacteriaceae.
CUUGAAAUACCACCCUUUAAUGUUUGAUGUUCUAACGUGGACCCGUGAUCCGGGUUGCGGACAGUGUCUGGUGGGUAGUUUGACUGGGGCGGUCUCCUCCUAAAGAGUAACGGAGGAGCACGAAGGUUGGCUAAUCCUGGUCGGACAUCAGGAGGUUAGUGCAAUGGCAUAAGCCAGCUUGACUGCGAGCGUGACGGCGCGAGCAGGUGCGAAAGCAGGUCAUAGUGAUCCGGUGGUUCUGAAUGGAAGGGCCAUCGCUCAACGGAUAAAAGGUACUCCGGGGAUAACAGGCUGAUACCGCCCAAGAGUUCAUAUCGACGGCGGUGUUUGGCACCUCGAUGUCGGCUCAUCACAUCCUGGGGCUGAAGUAGGUCCCAAGGGUAUGGCUGUUCGCCAUUUAAAGUGGUACGCGAGCUGGGUUUAGAACGUCGUGAGACAGUUCGGUCCCUAUCUGCCGUGGGCGCUGGAGAACUGAGGGGGGCUGCUCCUAGUACGAGAGGACCGGAGUGGACGCAUCACUGGUGUUCGGGUUGUCAUGCCAAUGGCACUGCCCGGUAGCUAAAUGCGGAAGAGAUAAGUGCUGAAAGCAUCUAAGCACGAAACUUGCCCCGAGAUGAGUUCUCCCUGAGACUUUAGGUCUCCUGAAGGAACGUUGAAGACGACGACGUUGAUAGGCCGGGUGUGUAAGCGCAGCGAUGCGUUGAGCUAACCGGUACUAAUGAACCGUGAGGCUUAACCUUACAACGCCGAA